This 527-nucleotide ribosomal RNA is filed under the name human gut metagenome. RNAcentral describes it as "bacterial LSU rRNA". It matches the Rfam family "Bacterial large subunit ribosomal RNA", at positions 1600 to 2110 of the family's 2925-position model. The record is from RNAcentral.
CCAGGCCGUCGAGAAAAGCCUCGGCGCGAGGGGCGUUGCCGCCCGUACCCCAAACCGACACUGGUGGUCAGGUAGAGAAUACCAAGGCGAUCGAGCGAAUCCUGGUCAAGGAACUCGGCAAAUCACUCCCGUGCCUUCGGUAUAAGGGAGACCCCUGAUGGUGAUGGAACUUGCUUCCGGAGCUUUCGGGGGUGGCACAGACCAGGGGGUAGCGACUGUUUACCAAAAACACAGGUGCAUGCGAAGGCGCAAGCCGCUGUAUAUGCACUGACGCCUGCCCGGUGCCGGAAGGUUAAGAGGAUCCGUCAGCCCUCGGGUGAAGCGGUGAAUUCAAGCCCCGGUAAACGGCGGUGGUAACUAUAACCAUCCUAAGGUAGCGAAAUUCCUUGUCGGGUAAGUUCCGACCUGCACGAAUGGCGUAACGACUUCCCCACUGUCUCGACCAGGAGCUCGGCGAAAUUGCAGUACGAGUAAAGAUGCUCGUUAAGCGCAGAAGGACGAAAAGACCCCGGGACCUUUACUAUACC